This 478-nucleotide ribosomal RNA is filed under the name uncultured bacterium. RNAcentral describes it as "bacterial SSU rRNA". It matches the Rfam family "Bacterial small subunit ribosomal RNA", at positions 28 to 469 of the family's 1533-position model. The record is from RNAcentral.
GAUGAACGCUGGCGGCGUGCAUAAUACAUGCAAGUCGAACGCAUUGUGGUUGAAAUGAUAUGAAGAACUUGUUCAGAUUUGAUUUUCAACAUUGCAAUGAGCGGCGAACGGGUGAGUAACACGUGGGAAACCUACCUCUUAGCAGGGGAUAACAUUUGGAAACAAAUGCUAAUACCGUAUAAUAAUUAAAACUGCAUGGUUUAGUUUAAAAGAUGGUCUUGCUAUCACUAAGAGAUGGUCCCGCGGUGUAUUAGUUAGUUGGUGAGGUAAUGGCUCACCAAGACAAUGAUACAUAGCCGAGUUGAGAGACUGACCGGCCACAAUGGGACUGAGACACGGCCCAUACUCCUACGGGAGGCAGCAGUAGGGAAUCUUCCACAAUGGACGAAAGUCUGAUGGAGCAACGCCGCGUGUGUGAUGAAGGUUUCGGCUCGUAAAACACUGUUGUAAGAGAAGAAUGACACUGAGAGUAACUGUU